Molecule: ribosomal RNA, 253 nt
Filed under: uncultured bacterium
Lineage: Bacteria
Description: partial 16S ribosomal RNA
Rfam family: Bacterial small subunit ribosomal RNA
Source: RNAcentral
UACAGAGGGUGCGAGCGUUGUUCGGAAUUAUUGGGCGUAAAGGGCGCGUAGGCGGUGCGGUAAGUCACCUGUGAAAUCUCCUGGCUCAACUGGGAGCUUGCAGGCGAAACUGCCGUGCUGGAGUGUGGGAGAGGUGCGUGGAAUUCCUGGUGUAGCGGUGAAGUGCGUAGAUAUCAGGAGGAACACCUGUGGCGAAAGCGGCGCGCUGGACCGCAACUGACGCUGAGGCGCGAAAGCUAGGGGAGCAAACAGG